Molecule: non-coding RNA, 30 nt
Filed under: Cricetulus griseus (Chinese hamster)
Lineage: Eukaryota; Metazoa; Chordata; Mammalia; Rodentia; Cricetidae
Source: RNAcentral
CUGUAUAGACCAAACAGCAUCAACGGUUAC